AAAUUCUUGGGUGCAUGAUAACGAGGAUAUCCAACUUCCAUUAGAGGCCUCUUGAAUUUAUUUAAAGGAUAUUCAUCUACUUACAAACAUACACCUAUAUAAAUCUUUUGACAUAAAAUCUUGACAUUCACUUGUUCUGCAAAAAGAAUGUAAGAAUUUUUAUUCAAUCUCUCCUGCAUCUCCCUGUAAAUGAAUUAAGCUAACAAUAAUUUUAAGGCUAAUUAAUAAAAAAGAGAAGAAAGAAUACGGUUGUAAUAAGAAAUAAGUUGGAAGUAAAAUAUUGUAAUGAGAAAUGAAACUACAAUGCUAUAAUAAUUUUUGUUUUUUGGAAUUUAAGUGGUCUAACUAUGAAUUGAAUAACAUGUAUACAAGUGUUUUGUAGUUCCAAAUCAGUAACUUACUUCAAGAUGUUUUGUUUUGGGUUUAUAAAACCUUCUUCUUCUCCACCUGAUCUUGGUUGUUUGCACUACUACCUCCUCCAUAUGUAAUUUCCUAACAUAAGAACAAAGUCAAUUAUUAGUUACAUAGUUUGAAAGUCUUAUGGUAUAGGUAACUCAAAUUCUUAAUUACUUAUAUGCCCCUACUCUUGGUUUACUUGUUUUUUUUUAUGAGUAUUGACUUAUUGUGACUCAAACUCCAGACUAGAAACAAGCAACAGACUAAAAAAUUAAUAUGACAAAAAAAAAAAACUAAGUUUGUGGUUAAGAUUUUUUGAUAUUCCAUGGUUAAUUAUGUGAAAGAAACCCCAUUCUUUGCGGGCUAAAGAGGAUGAAGGAAUUAUAUAUAGAUUUUGAUAUAUCAAAAACAGGAAGUUCUAUUGAAGUAACCCAGGCAUGAUUGAAACUUGAAAGCUGUUUUAAAGAAAGGGUUAGAUUGCACUAAGAUUAUAAAUUAGUUUUUAGGAAACAAACUUUAUAUUUUAUAUUACUAACCAUGAGCAAUUUUAAUAUUCAAUUAUUCAAAAGUACCUAUUCUUCAGUUAGAAUGCUAUGCCUCUAGUUAUAAAACAAAGUCAAUGAAGAUUUUGUUUUAUUGGAUUUCAUGAAUAAAACAAAGCCAGUGAAGAUGAUUAUGGGAACGGGAAAGCAAAAACAUGUAUAAUCAAGGUGUGAAUUAGCAUUUUUAGCAAUCACUUCUUUCAUAAACAACCAAAUGUAAAUAAAACUUUGCCAAACAAACAAUUCAAUAAGGUUGACAUAGAAAAAACCAAAGAAUACUACAAUUAGUGAAAGUUUUUUUUUUUUUUUUUCAACUUUCACAAGUAAAUUGGUUGUUUAAAACUAAGGAUCGAAUUGCUGAUUACUAUAUAACCAUAGAUAACGAAAGCUAACAGUAUAAACAAUAAUAAAUCAAAACCCUAGUAAAUUAAGAUCAAAGGAAACUACAAGAACCAAGAUAUUAAAUUGAUAUCAUUGAUCUAGAAUAACUGCUUUAAUCAUAAAAUUUUACAUCGAUUAUCAAAAUUCCGAAGAAAUUGAACUUAAACAACACUCGUGUAAUCAGGUCUGUUACAUGGCAGACAUUCGCAUCAACACAACAAUUAAUCAACGAAUUAAUCAAUUACACCCAAAAAGCCGAUCGUACCUGUAAACAAUGUGAAAAAAGGGGGGAGGUGGAAGCGGCCGGAGGCCGGAGGAGGAGGCUGCGUCGGUGUCGUCGACCGGAGACCAGAGGCGGAGCUGUGUCGGAAGAAGCGGUGUGGAGUCAAAGACUUUGUGUUGUUGAUGAGUCAUGUUGCGUUCGUCUUGUGAAAAGUAACCACGUAUCAACAGAAAAGGGAACGCGGUCAAAAUCGGAACAUUCGAUUCAAUUUUGACUUUUGGGUCAAAAGAAUGAAUAAGAAUUGUAAUUUUUUUUAUGAAC
This 1863-nucleotide long non-coding RNA is filed under the name Lactuca sativa (garden lettuce). Its description in RNAcentral is "long non-coding RNA (LSAT_LNC000667)". The record is from RNAcentral. Lineage: Eukaryota; Viridiplantae; Streptophyta; Magnoliopsida; Asterales; Asteraceae.